Long non-coding RNA from Hippocampus comes (tiger tail seahorse), 823 nucleotides. RefSeq lists it as uncharacterized. The record is from RefSeq and is a predicted model, not a curated record. The transcript is spliced from 2 exons. Lineage: Eukaryota; Metazoa; Chordata; Actinopteri; Syngnathiformes; Syngnathidae.
GACAGAGGACAAUUAUCCCAGCCCGUUACAGUUCAAUAAGUCCAUCAAGGCGCAAGCCUGAGACCGCGUUUCCCUGGCAACGCCUCUCAGGUAAAUCACAGAUGGGGUAUGAUGAGAGAAGGGGAGUGAACGUGAGACAAGGGGAGGCAGGCAGCAGGGCCCGCAGGACCGAGGCGGAAUGCGCCCUCAACAAAUCUGCUUUGAGAGCAUCUGGGUUGAGACAAGUAGCUCACAACGUGCAGGGUCUUCUCCACUUCGUCAUGGUUCCUUGCCUGUCAAUCACAUCUUCAUCGUGAGAGUCCUCAAAUCUUAGCGCAUCUCUCGAUUGUCCUUUUGGGUUGACAACCUCGCUUUAAACAUCACUUACUGUGAUCUAAGAACGCUAAUUAAGUUGAUCACUUGUCCCAUCCAUCCCCGCACCCCCGAAGAAAACUUUGCCCUGGAAUGCACGAGCCAACACAAUUACUGGUGGCACGAUGAUUCGUAAUCUUUAGCGGAUUGCAAACAACGCGGAACGCAGAAAGAAAUGCGUGUCCGCAUAUUGUCGUACAGGUGCGCGUGAGCGCCGUCAUCAUCAGCGUGCGUGUGUUCAGGUGACUGUCUGGCCUCCUGCCGCAGUGUCUGGAAAUUCAGACACUCCCCCCCGCCCCCCAAAAAAAAACCCCCUCCGCCCCCUCUUCUUCUUCGAUGCUGCGCUGCUACUCAGCAUACCUGACGUCCCGCUUCUUUUCUUUCUCCUCGUUUUUUCCUCCCAUCCUGCUGUGAUAAGAGAUCCACUAAAUACAAGCAAAUUCACCAAACAACAAGAUAUGAAAAUCGAUGC